AGCAGCCGCGGUAAUUCCAGCUCCAAUAGCGUAUAUUAAAGUUGUUGCAGUUAAAAAGCUCGUAGUUGAAUUUCGGGAUCGAUGCGUCGGUCGUGCCUUCGGUACGUACUGGCGUCAUCGAUUCCUCCCUUCUUGAAGAACCGUGAUGUCAUUAAUUUGGUGUUACGGGGAAUCAGGACUGUUACCUUGAAAAAUUAGAGUGUUUAAAGCAGGCUAACGCUUGAAUACAUUAGCAUGGAAUAAUGAAAUAGGACGUUCGAACCUAUUUUGUUGGUUUCUAGGAUCGACGUAAUGAUUAAUAGGGAUAGUUGGGGGCAUUAGUAUUCAAUUGUCAGAGGUGAAAUUCUUGGAUUUAUUGAAGACUAACUACUGCGAAAGCAUUUGCCAAGGAUGUUUUCAUUAAUCAAGAACGAAAGUUAGGGGAUCGAAGACGAUCAGAUACCGUCGUAG
RNAcentral lists this ribosomal RNA (450 nucleotides) under uncultured Glomus. RNAcentral describes it as "SSU rRNA". It matches the Rfam family "Eukaryotic small subunit ribosomal RNA", at positions 569 to 1023 of the family's 1831-position model. The record is from RNAcentral. Lineage: Eukaryota; Fungi; Glomeromycota; Glomeromycetes; Glomerales; Glomeraceae.